This 253-nucleotide ribosomal RNA is filed under the name uncultured bacterium. RNAcentral's name for it is "partial 16S ribosomal RNA". It matches the Rfam family "Bacterial small subunit ribosomal RNA", at positions 524 to 776 of the family's 1533-position model. The record is from RNAcentral.
UACGGAGGGGGCUAGCGUUGUUCGGAAUUACUGGGCGUAAAGCGUACGUAGGCGGCUUUGUAAGUUAGAGGUGAAAGCCUGGAGCUCAACUCCAGAACUGCCUUUAAGACUGCAUCGCUUGAAUCCAGGAGAGGUGAGUGGAAUUCCGAGUGUAGAGGUGAAAUUCGUAGAUAUUCGGAAGAACACCAGUGGCGAAGGCGGCUCACUGGACUGGUAUUGACGCUGAGGUACGAAAGCGUGGGUAGCAAACAGG